Molecule: unclassified non-coding RNA, 225 nt
Filed under: Hevea brasiliensis (rubber tree)
Lineage: Eukaryota; Viridiplantae; Streptophyta; Magnoliopsida; Malpighiales; Euphorbiaceae
Source: RNAcentral
GGAUGAAGCCAACACUCAAAAACCCCAUGAGCAAACUCGCAAGAAUCCCCUUUCUUGCACCCACCCUUGCGAAAGUCAGGGCAGGCUGUUCCAGAGUAAUGAUACCUGCGCGGGUCUCGGCGGCGCGCCUUCUCUCCAGGAUGAGCGUACGGACACUCGGUCCAGUCAUGUGACCUCCCACGUGCGCAGCGUCUCACCUUGAACUCAUACAUGCGAAAAUGAUCG